RNAcentral lists this ribosomal RNA (693 nucleotides) under Micrococcus luteus. RNAcentral describes it as "bacterial SSU rRNA". It matches the Rfam family "Bacterial small subunit ribosomal RNA", at positions 1 to 712 of the family's 1533-position model. The record is from RNAcentral. Lineage: Bacteria; Bacillati; Actinomycetota; Actinomycetes; Micrococcales; Micrococcaceae.
UAGAGUUUUGAUCCUGGCUCAGGAUGAACGCUGGCGGCGUGCUUAACACAUGCAAGUCGAACGAUGAAGCCCAGCUUGCUGGGUGGAUUAGUGGCGAACGGGUGAGUAACACGUGAGUAACCUGCCCUUAACUCUGGGAUAAGCCUGGGAAACUGGGUCUAAUACCGGAUAGGAGCGCCCACCGCAUGGUGGGUGUUGGAAAGAUUUAUCGGUUUUGGAUGGACUCGCGGCCUAUCAGCUUGUUGGUGAGGUAAUGGCUCACCAAGGCGACGACGGGUAGCCGGCCUGAGAGGGUGACCGGCCACACUGGGACUGAGACACGGCCCAGACUCCUACGGGAGGCAGCAGUGGGGAAUAUUGCACAAUGGGCGCAAGCCUGAUGCAGCGACGCCGCGUGAGGGAUGACGGCCUUCGGGUUGUAAACCUCUUUCAGUAGGGAAGAAGCGAAAGUGACGGUACCUGCAGAAGAAGCACCGGCUAACUACGUGCCAGCAGCCGCGGUAAUACGUAGGGUGCGAGCGUUAUCCGGAAUUAUUGGGCGUAAAGAGCUCGUAGGCGGUUUGUCGCGUCUGUCGUGAAAGUCCGGGGCUUAACCCCGGAUCUGCGGUGGGUACGGGCAGACUAGAGUGCAGUAGGGGAGACUGGAAUUCCUGGUGUAGCGGUGGAAUGCGCAGAUAUCAGGAGGAACACCGU